GAUGAACGCUGGCGGCGUGCCUAAUACAUGCAAGUCGAGCGAACGGACGAGAAGCUUGCUUCUCUGAUGUUAGCGGCGGACGGGUGAGUAACACGUGGAUAACCUACCUAUAAGACUGGGAUAACUUCGGGAAACCGUAGCUAAUACCGGAUAAUAUUUUGAACCGCAUGGUUCAAAGUGAAAGACGGUCUUGCUGUCACCUAUAGAAGGAACCGCGCUGCAUUAGCUAGUUGGUAAGGUAACGGCUUACCAAGGCAACGAUGCAUAGCCGACCUGAGAGGGUGAUCGGCCACACUGGAACUGAGACACGGUCCAGACUCCUACGGGAGGCAGCAGUAGGGAAUCUUCCGCAAUGGGCGAAAGCCUGACGGAGCAACGCCGCGUGAGUGAUGAAGGUCUUCGGAUCGUAAAACUCUGUUAUUAGGGAAGAACAUAUGUGUAAGUAACUGUGCACAUCUUGACGGUACCUAAUCAGAAAGCCACGGCUAACUACGUG
RNAcentral lists this ribosomal RNA (496 nucleotides) under uncultured bacterium. Its description in RNAcentral is "partial 16S ribosomal RNA". It matches the Rfam family "Bacterial small subunit ribosomal RNA", at positions 28 to 507 of the family's 1533-position model. The record is from RNAcentral.